RNAcentral lists this transfer RNA (62 nucleotides) under Pionus menstruus menstruus. RNAcentral's name for it is "tRNA-Glu". Lineage: Eukaryota; Metazoa; Chordata; Aves; Psittaciformes; Psittacidae. The record is from RNAcentral.
UUUCAGAAUCGCGUCUGUCCAAAGCUUAUGGCCUAAACCAUAUCUAGUGUGCCAACCAUAAU